RNAcentral lists this ribosomal RNA (497 nucleotides) under uncultured bacterium. Its description in RNAcentral is "partial 16S ribosomal RNA". It matches the Rfam family "Bacterial small subunit ribosomal RNA", at positions 28 to 507 of the family's 1533-position model. The record is from RNAcentral.
GAUGAACGCUGGCGGCGUGCCUAAUACAUGCAAGUCGAGCGAACAGACGCUGAGCUUGCUCCUCUGACGUUAGCGGCGGACGGGUGAGUAACACGUGGAUAACCUACCUAUAAGACUGGGAUAACUUCGGGAAACCGGAGCUAAUACCGGAUAAUAUAUUGAACCGCAUGGUUCAAUAGUUAAAGACGGUUUUGCUGUCACUUAUAGAUGGUUCCGCGCCGCAUUAGCUAGUUGGUAAGGUAACGGCUUACCAAGGCAACGAUGCGUAGCCGACCUGAGAGGGUGAUCGGCCACACUGGAACCGAGACACGGUCCAGACUCCUACGGGAGGCAGCAGUAGGGAAUCUACCGCAAUGGGCGAAAGCCUGACGGAGCAACGCCGCGUGAGUGAUGAAGGUCUUCGGAUCGUAAAACUCUGUUAUUAGGGAAGAACAAAUGUGUAAGUAACUAUGCACGUCUUGACGGUACCUAAUCAGAAAGCCACGGCUAACUACGUG